This 484-nucleotide long non-coding RNA is filed under the name Androctonus crassicauda. Lineage: Eukaryota; Metazoa; Arthropoda; Arachnida; Scorpiones; Buthidae. The record is from RNAcentral.
UAUGUACACCUGAAAGAAAAACUUUACAAUAAUAAUCUCUGAAAAUAACUUUAAAAAUAUAAAGUAUUAUAUAGGUAAAAGUUAUUUUCAGAGAUUAUUAUUCUAAAGUUUUUCUUUCAGGUGUACAUAAAGCUGCCAGCAAACGGUCUGUCAAAAAACAGCAACUUCUGACGACUCUUCCAAGCCAGGAAGCUUCCACCUCGCGGGAGUUAUUUUAUGCAGAUUUGUGCACUGCGUUGGUUUCAGCAGAUAUACCUCUCUCUAAAUUACAAAAUCCUGUUUUUAAAAAUUUUCUUGAAAAAUAUACCAAUAAAUCCAUUCCAGAUGAGAGCACUUUGGGAAAGAAUUACUUACAGCCUUGCUACUAAAAACUCUUCAACUAUUAAAAAACAAAAUCAGGAAAAAUUUUGUGUAUUUAAUGAUUGAUGAAACCACAGACACUCGUGGACAUUAUAUUGCAAAUUUGAUUAUAGUCAUUUUAGAC